Molecule: ribosomal RNA, 460 nt
Filed under: uncultured bacterium
Lineage: Bacteria
Description: partial 16S ribosomal RNA
Rfam family: Bacterial small subunit ribosomal RNA
Source: RNAcentral
CCUACGGGAGGCAGCAGUGAGGAAUAUUGGUCAAUGGGCGGAAGCCUGAACCAGCCAAGUCGCGUGAGGGAAUAAGGCCCUACGGGUCGUAAACCUCUUUUGUCGGGGAGCAAGGGCGGGGACGUGUCCCGGCCCGGAGAGUACCCGGAGAAAAAGCAUCGGCUAACUCCGUGCCAGCAGGCGCGGUAAUACGGAGGAUGCGAGCGUUAUCCGGAUUUAGUGGGUUUAAUGGGUGCGUAGGCGGGCUUUUGAGUCAGCGGUAAAAAUUCGGGGCUCAACCCCGUCCGGCCGUUGAAACUGGGAGCCUUGAGUAGGCGAGAAGAAGGCGGAAUGCGUGGUGUAGCGGUGAAAUGCAUAGAUAUCACGCAGAACCCCGAUUGCGAAGGCAGCCUUCCGGCGCCCUACUGACGCUGAGGCACGAAAGUGCGGGGAUCGAACAGGAUUAGAUACCCGAGUAGUC